CAGUCGCCGCGGGAAAACGUAGGUGGCAAGCGUUGUCCGGAAUUAUUGGGCGUAAAGGGAUCGCAGGCGGUUUCUUAAGUCUGAUGUGAAAGCCCCCGGCUCAACCGGGGAGGGUCAUUGGAAACUGGGAAACUUGAGUGCAGAAGAGGAGAGUGGAAUUCCACGUGUAGCGGUGAAAUGCGUAGAGAUGUGGAGGAACACCAGUGGCGAAGGCGACUCUCUGGUCUGUAACUGACGCUGAGGAGCGAAAGCGUGGGGAGCGAACAGGAUUAGAUACCCGCGUAGUCCCUGUCUCUUAUAC
This 301-nucleotide ribosomal RNA is filed under the name uncultured bacterium. Its description in RNAcentral is "partial 16S ribosomal RNA". It matches the Rfam family "Bacterial small subunit ribosomal RNA", at positions 509 to 807 of the family's 1533-position model. The record is from RNAcentral.